GGUUGCGGGCGGACGGUCGCUGUCCCCGACGUGAGUCGGGGAGGGAGGAAAGUCCGGACUCCGCAGGGCGGGAUGUCUCGGGGAUAACCCGGGAGGCCCUUUGCCAGAUCGAAGGGUACGGAUAGCGCCACAGAAAAUAUACCGUCCCACGCCGCGCGAGCGGUUGUGGGAUAAGGGUGAAAAGGUGGUGUAAGAGACCACCGCUCCGCCGGCAACGGCGGGGGCAGGGCAAGCCCCAUCCGGAGCAAGAUCAAAUAGGAAGCGAGCGGCGGCCCGCCGCGUUUCCGCGCAAGCGGAGUAAGCUUCGGGUUGAUCGCGUAGAUAAAUGACCGUCGAAACAGAAUCCGGCUUACGGCCCGCAGCCACGG
Molecule: RNase P RNA, 368 nt
Filed under: Verrucomicrobiota bacterium
Lineage: Bacteria; Pseudomonadati; Verrucomicrobiota
Description: Verrucomicrobia bacterium RNase P RNA component class A
Rfam family: Bacterial RNase P class A
About the family: Ribonuclease P (RNase P) is a ubiquitous endoribonuclease, found in archaea, bacteria and eukarya as well as chloroplasts and mitochondria.
Source: RNAcentral